Molecule: ribosomal RNA, 440 nt
Filed under: uncultured bacterium
Lineage: Bacteria
Description: partial 16S ribosomal RNA
Rfam family: Bacterial small subunit ribosomal RNA
Source: RNAcentral
CCUACGGGAGGCAGCAGUGGGGAAUAUUGCACAAUGGGGGGAACCCUGAUGCAGCGACGCCGCGUGAGCGAUGAAGUAUUUCGGUAUGUAAAGCUCUAUCAGCAGGGAAGCAAAUGACGGUACCUGACUAAGACGCCCCGGCUAACUACGUGCCAGCAGCCGAGGUAAUACGUAGGGGGCAAGCGUUAUCCGGAUUUACUGGGUGUAAAGGGGGCGUAGACGGCUGUGCAAGCCAGCUGUGAAAGCCCGGGGGUCAACCCCCGGACUGCAUUUGGAACUGGGUGGCUGGAGUGUCGGAGAGGCAGGCGGAAUGCCUAGUGUAGCGGUGAAAUGCGUAGAUAUUAGGAGGAACACCAGUGGCGAAGGCGGCCUGCUGGACGAUGACUGACGUUGAGGCUCGAAAGCGUGGGGAGCAAACAGGAUUAGAUACCCCUGUAGUC